GGCCUCGUAGCUCAGUUGGCGGAGCAUUGGACUAGUAUCCCAAAGGUCGCGGGUUCGAUACCCACCGUGGUCA
RNAcentral lists this transfer RNA (73 nucleotides) under Paramuricea clavata. It matches the Rfam family "tRNA". From Rfam's summary of the family: Transfer RNA (tRNA) molecules are approximately 80 nucleotides in length. Their secondary structure includes four short double-helical elements and three loops (D, anti-codon, and T loops). The record is from Rfam by way of RNAcentral. Lineage: Eukaryota; Metazoa; Cnidaria; Anthozoa; Malacalcyonacea; Plexauridae.